AAAUAAAAAUCGGUGUUGUUGCUGCCUUGCGUGGUGACGCAUCGGAUUUGGGUCGUCUUACCUUCGGUUAAGUGACCUAAAAUUUUGCAUGAUUUUUCGAACGUAUUUAAAUUAUUUACGUACGUUUGCGAUAUCGAAUAUUAGGAGUGGUCAUUCUCAUGAUUCGCGCCUAUAAUUUCACAUCA
This 185-nucleotide unclassified non-coding RNA is filed under the name uncultured Glomus. Its description in RNAcentral is "partial internal transcribed spacer 2". The record is from RNAcentral. Lineage: Eukaryota; Fungi; Glomeromycota; Glomeromycetes; Glomerales; Glomeraceae.